GAAGCAGGAAACUACCCAAAGGGAUAUGCUAUCACUGGAAUUUAUUCUAAUGAAGAUGUUUUGAUACUGUUUGGGAAAUACAAGCCCACGCUGUUCCCUUGCUGUCAAUCUGAACUGUUCUCGAAGCCAGGAUGAGGGAUGGGACAAGGUGGCUGAGAAGGACCGUUCCCUCCUGGGGCAAAUCUGUGCCAUGAGGAGGCUGGGUUUGCUCCAAUCACCAGCCCUCAUCUGAGUUCCACUUUAGCCAGAGGUGGAUGGAAUGCAGCCCGCUUCUGCCUGCUCUUGCGUGACCUGAGAGAAAAGAAUAAAUGGCCAAACAAUGCCAAACAA
Long non-coding RNA from Carlito syrichta (Philippine tarsier), 330 nucleotides. RefSeq lists it as uncharacterized. The transcript is spliced from 3 exons. The record is from RefSeq and is a predicted model, not a curated record. NCBI's taxonomy places the organism in Eukaryota, Metazoa, Chordata, Mammalia, Primates, Tarsiidae.